RNAcentral lists this transfer RNA (76 nucleotides) under Bradyrhizobium sp. CCBAU 21365. Its description in RNAcentral is "tRNA-Arg". Lineage: Bacteria; Pseudomonadati; Pseudomonadota; Alphaproteobacteria; Hyphomicrobiales; Nitrobacteraceae. The record is from RNAcentral.
GUGCUGGAUAGCGCGGUUGUUGGCGUUUGCCCUCCGAAGGCAAAGGUCACACGUUCGAAUCGUGUCGGGUGCGCCA